This 456-nucleotide ribosomal RNA is filed under the name uncultured bacterium. RNAcentral's name for it is "bacterial SSU rRNA". It matches the Rfam family "Bacterial small subunit ribosomal RNA", at positions 340 to 786 of the family's 1533-position model. The record is from RNAcentral.
UACGGAAGGCAGCAGUGGGGAAUAUUGCACAAUGGGCGCAAGCCUGAUGCAGCCAUGCCGCGUGUAUGAAGAAGGCCUUCGGGUUGUAAAGUACUUUCAGUCGUGAGGAAGGUGUUAAGGUUAAUAACCUUAGCAAUUGACGUUAGCGACAGAAGAAGCACCGGCUAACUCCGUGCCAGCAGCCGCGGUAAUACGGAGGGUGCGAGCGUUAAUCGGAAUUACUGGGCGUAAAGGGCACGCAGGCGGUUAAUUAAGUUGGAUGUGAAAUCCCCGGGCUUAACCUGGGAAUGGCAUUCAAGACUGGUUAGCUAGAGUCUUGUAGAGGGGGUUAGAAUUCCAUGUGUAGCGGUGAAAUGCGUAGAGAUGUGGAGGAAUACCGGUGGCGAAAGGCGGCCCCUGGACAAAGGACUGACGCUCAUGUGCGAAAGCGUGGGGAGCAAACAGGGAUUAGAUACC